This is a non-coding RNA of Pelobates cultripes (western spadefoot toad), 454 nucleotides long. The record is from the annotation of a GenBank genome assembly. Lineage: Eukaryota; Metazoa; Chordata; Amphibia; Anura; Pelobatidae.
AUCCGGUAAGUGAUAAAAGGGUUUUUAACCCUUUCAACACUGGGAGAGGAGGGGGUGGUAUGGAUACAGAGGGACACUAUAGUGUUAGAAAUACAGUUUGUAUUCCUAAUGCUAUAGUGUUCCCUUAAAUAAUGUUUUUAACUGUUUUUCCCCCCUCUACUAGUCACUUCUCAUUUGAUCUGUGAAUAAAAUCUAAACUGAGUGGUUGUUCCCUAACCAUCAAUAUUAUCAAUUUUUUAAUUAUUUUUUUUUCUUCAUGGACGGAACUUUGAAUCAGGAAACAAACUGUUUUGUUCAUUUCGUUUAUUUUGAUUUGCAGAAUGCAAACUGUUUGCUGAUUGCCCAAAAUCCAGGUGAAGUCUUAAUGUGGAGUUUGUCACUUAAGAGUUUCUUCCAUUAUCUACCAGGGUUUUACUUUAAAUGGUGGCUCAGGGGCACAUGUGUGAAGGUCAGG